UACGUAGGUGGCAAGCGUUGUCCGGAUUUAUUGGGUUUAAAGGGUGCGUAGGCGGCUUAUUAAGUCAGUGGUGAAAUACUCUAGCUCAACUAGAGGGGGUGCCAUUGAUACUGAUGAGCUUGAGUACAGAUGAGGUAGGCGGAAUUGACGGUGUAGCGGUGAAAUGCUUAGAUAUCGUCAAGAACACCUAUAGCGAAGGCAGCUUACUAGGCUGUAACUGACGCUGAGGCACGAAAGUGUGGGGAUCAAACAGG
This 254-nucleotide ribosomal RNA is filed under the name uncultured bacterium. RNAcentral's name for it is "partial 16S ribosomal RNA". It matches the Rfam family "Bacterial small subunit ribosomal RNA", at positions 524 to 776 of the family's 1533-position model. The record is from RNAcentral.